This 7122-nucleotide long non-coding RNA is filed under the name Nicotiana tabacum (common tobacco). RNAcentral describes it as "long non-coding RNA (NTAB_LNC001628)". The record is from RNAcentral. Lineage: Eukaryota; Viridiplantae; Streptophyta; Magnoliopsida; Solanales; Solanaceae.
AAAAAUUCCCCAACCUAGGUUAGGGGAUCAUUAGACCGAAGCUUGCUGCUGAAAAAUAUUGCCAGAAUAACACGCCGUACGAGAUAGCAAUAACAGGAAAUUGACCGGUCGGAGGUUCGAGAAAGGAAAAAUAACAAAUCAAAUAAGAAAGAGGGUUUACUAACAUUAUAUUAUGCAAAUCUGAGAACUUUUCUUCCCCCUAUUCCUUUAAGAUUUAUCUUAUGUAGUGAUUUAAUCUUUGAUCUNNNNNNNNNNNNNNNNNNNNNNNNNNNNNNNNNNNNNNNNNNNNNNNNNNNNNNNNNNNNNNNNNNNNNNNNNNNNNNNNNNNNNNNNNNNNNNNNNNNNNNNNNNNNNNNNNNNNNNNNNNNNNNNNNNNNNNNNNNNNNNNNNNNNNNNNNNNNNNNNNNNNNNNNNNNNNNNNNNNNNNNNNNNNNNNNNNNNNNNNNNNNNNNNNNNNNNNNNNNNNNNNNNNNNNNNNNNNNNNNNNNNNNNNNNNNNNNNNNNNNNNNNNNNNNNNNNNNNNNNNNNNNNNNNNNNNNNNNNNNNNNNNNNNNNNNNNNNNNNNNNNNNGCAUUUAAGAGCUAGGUGGAUGUAAUAAUACUCCAAUUUAAUAACAAGCUCACUAUAUUUAUAUAUUGAAGUAUUUGGCGAGUUUUUUGGUACUCUGCCGAAUCAAUAAUAGGUCCCCGCAGCCUAAGCCGUGGUCCAUUUUGAUUUUGUUGGUAGUACUUAUUUUUAUGUGUUGAUGACAUAGUACUAUUAUGCUGGUAAAAACUUAUCCGUAUUCGAUAUUUACGAAUGACAUGAGCAAGCUUAUGAGUUAAAUCGUUUAUUAUUUUACAUUUCGUACGAGUUAAUUGCACUAAGCUUUGAUCAAAUUUUAAUGUAAUUAUUUCAUAAUUCAAUUUGUCAAAUUUCAGCUCAUAAUAUUUUUUAGUAGCUUUCAAAUGUUAUUUUAAAUAUAAGAACUUUCUGCACAUAAUUUUUUGUCCAAAAGUUGAUCGAAUUAGUUUCGGAAAAUAAAAGGCCGUUGAAUUAAUAAUUAUUGGGAAUCUUAUGGGAAUGUAUCAAAGAAAGACACUAUUUAUCAACAACUGGUCAUUUUAGUCAUACUACCAAAAAUAACCCCAAAAUUUUAUAAAUAAUAUACAACAUUCAAAAAACAUAAGUAAUUUUUUUUUUCUUUCAACGGAUAUUGUUGCGAUUCAUUGAAAACCAUAGAUAAGGUAAUAUGCAAAAUUUGACGAAGUUUGGAGACGAGCUAGACUAGUUUGGAGUCAAAAUUCAUUACCAAUGAUAUAAAUGGGAGGUGAUUUGGUAUCAAAUUUCGUAGUUAAAAUCGAGUUUAAAAUAUUUUUCUGCAACACAUGUAUCACGUAUGUAUCUCACACCCAGAUAUACAUGGAUAUAUAGGUGAUACAUAUGUGAUACACAAAGUGAUGCACAUAUCAUCUUUUUUCAAGUUCAUCUUAUACUCUGAAUUUUCAAUUCAAACCACUUUAGAACCCCACCAAAUCAUCACAAAAUUGAGAUCCAAACUCCUUAAGAUGUACUCAUUCUAUUUUAAUAACACCCACUCAAAAGAAAGUAAAAAUUUGACUUUUUUUUUUGCACAAAUAACUAAUUAACUAAUAUUGAUAGCAUUUGGUUAAUAUUAGUAAUAUUUUAUUAAUUGGUCAAUUUUUAGAAUAAGUUACUUAUAGGCGGACAUAGCUAAUAGUUUCCCAUAAUUAUUCGAACAUUAAAAUUAUACAAGUGAAAAUUCAGCUCACUAAUUAUUCAAACUUUUAGAGGAGAGCAUAUGCAAGCAGAAAUCCAGAGUACAAUGGCCCAAAUUAGGGGACUCAAACUCAGCUUAUUUCUUUGCCAGCAUCAAGAAUAAGAGAGCUCAGAAUCAUAUUAAAUCACUUGCUAGUGCAACGGGUGAAAUUAUCCAAUCAGAAAAGGGGAUAGAGGAGGAGAUUCUAGGUUUCUAUAAGAACCUACUUGGGGCUGCAAAUCCCACAUUACCUGCUAUACAAUUAGAUUUUAUAAGGAGGGGAUCUAUCAUAUCAAGGGCACAACAGUUGCAGCUUAUUCGACCAUUUACCAGGAAAGAAGUUUGGCAAGCAUUACAGGGGAUUGGUGAUAACAAAGCUCCAGGGAUAGAUGGAUUUAACUCAUUGUUCUUUAAGAAAGCAUGGAUCUCAAUUGGAGAUGAGGUAACUGAAGUUGUUCUAAACUUCUUUGACACCAUGAAACUCUACCAACCAAUAUACUGCACAUCCAUCACCUUGGUUCCUAAAGUUAAAAGCCCUUCCUUAGUAAAACAAUAUAGACCUAUCUCCUACUGCUCCACAAUCUAUAAGAUCAUGUCCAAAAUGCUCACUAGCACACUCCAGGGAUUAUGGAUAGCCUCAUUGAUGAGAGCCAGGAGGUAUUUGUACCUGGCAAAGUCAUAACUGAUAAUAUUAUCCUUAGCUAUGAAUUAGUGAAAGGAUAUGGGAGGAAAGGGGUGUCACCAAGAUGCAUAAUCAAAAUUGACAUGCAAAAAGCUUAUGACUCUAUAGAAUGGUUGUUCCUAGAACAAGUUCUAAAUGAUAUGAACUUUCCUGAAAUAUUUGUUAGGUGGAUCAUGGUAUGUAUAUCAACAGUCUCAUACUCUAUAGUCAUAAAUGGUAAAUCAAGUGCUCCUUUUACUGCAAAAAGGGGAGUAAGGCAGGGUGACCCCUUGUCACCAUUCCUGUUUGUGAUAGCCAUGGAUUACCUCAGUAGACUACUAAAAACAUUGAAAGAUAAUAUCACGACCCUAAAACCUGCCCAGUCAUGAUGGUGCCAAUCAUGAAACUAGGUCAGCCGACACAAAUUCCAAAUCAAACCAGUAUUUCAUAAAAAGGAAUUUUUUAAAUAUAAAUUUACUAAAAUCCCAUAACAUGCGUCUAAAUAACAAGUGCGAAAAAUAACAUAAGCCCGACAUCGGGGUGUCACAAGUCACGAGCAAUUACAAGGUCUGUCUAAGUACAAUAAAGUCUAUCAAAGUCUGGGAACAAUACUAAUAUAAUCUAGGAAAGAUAAGAGGGAGAAGAGCAGGGUUGUGAACGCCAUGCAGCUACCUUGCCGACUCCAAAUGACCCGUUGGAUGAAGAUCAAUGCUCGCUAUCAACCCGUAACUCAUGGAUCUACACACAAGGUGCAGGGAGUAAUGUGAGUACGCCAACUCAGUAAGUAAUAAAAGUAAAUAAAAAUUGAGCAGUAAGAAAUUAUAUAAUUCCACGUCAUAGCACUACAACAAAUACGGUAUGGUUCCAAAAUAGUGUAGAAAUCAAUUAUCUCAUAAAAACUCAGUUUCAGAAAAAAUACUUUGAAAAAUAUCUUUCUACAGUUUCAACUGAGAAUUUACAGAAGUGUAGAGUAAAAAUGAUGAAAAUCAUAAUCAACCCCUCGGGCAAAAACAUGUAUCAUAAAUCGCCCCUCAGGCAUAAUAUCAACAGAACCAACCCCUCGGGCUACCUCACAAUCACUCGAAAUCAGCCCAUCGGGCAUAACAUGUAUCAGAGUCAGCCCCUCGAGCAACAACAUAUCACUCACUCAGGGUACCCGCGCUCACUGGAGGUGUACAGAAUCCGGAGGGACUCCUACAACCCAAGCGCUAUCACAAUCCAUCUCAUGGAUAAAUCAGGCCCUCGACCUCUCAUAUAUCACAAAAUAGUACAACCUACUGUGGCGUGCAACCCGAUCCCAUGAUAUCCUCACAACAUAGGCCCUCGGCCUUACUCAGUCAGAAACCUCUCAAGCCACUCGGGAUAACAGUAAAAUAGGGUGCUUAGCCCAAAAAUUUCAUUUAUGUAUCAAAUCAGAGUAAAUAAGACUGAGUUAUGAAAUCAGUAAAACAUAGCAUGAUUGAGUACAAUUGUUAAAUCAAAACAAUGAGGAAUUUCAGUAAAGAAAACCCCUAAGGGUCCAAACAGAUGGCACGAGGCCCAAAUAUAGUAUUCAGCCCAAAACAUAGUAAUACCUUCUAACAUAAGAUAAUAUCAAGUAGUUUCAGUCAAAUACGCAACUUAAUAGUUGCUACGGGACGGACCAAGUCAUAAUUUCCAACUGUGAACGGCCCUCACGCUUGUCAUCUAGCGUGUGCGUCACCUCAAAAUAGUACAACGAUGUAAAAUCCGGGGUUUCAUACCCUCAGGACAACAUUUACAAUCAUUACUUACCUCAAACCGGACCGAACUCUAACCCGCAAUGCCUUUGCCUCUCUACCGGCCUCCAAAUGCUCCAAAUCUAACCAAAAUCAGUAUCACAUCAUUAAUACAUGCUAAAGGAACAAAGCCCAAGCAAAAAUGAUCAAAUUAACUCGGAAAUCCCGAAAUUGGUCAAACCCGACCCCCUGGCCCACGUCUCGGAAUCUGAUAAAAAUUACAACACUAGAAUUCUUAUCCACUCACGAGUCUAUACAUACCAAAACCAUCAAAAUCGGACCUCAAAUGGCCCCUUAAAUCCCCAAUUUAAACUCUCCAAUUUCAAGUCUUAAUUCCCUAAUUUUCACCCUUAAAUCCUACAAAUUCCAAGCUUAAUCUACUGAAAAUCAUCAUAGAAUCGGGUAUUAAGUUCAAAAAUCUUAUCUCAACAAGUUUCCCCUUGAUUCCCUCUUCAAAACCCUCCAAGAGCUUCAAUCCCAACUUCAAAAAUGGUGGAAUAGGUCAAAUUUUGUGAAGGAGAAUUUAUAUACUUUCUGCCCCAGGGAUUCCGCACCUGCAGCCCAUAUCAUGCUUCUGCGGACCGCUUCUGCUGUCAAAUCAACCGCACAUGUGGCUUUCACUUAAAGUCCCAGGACCGCAUCUGCGACCAGGCACCGCACUUGUGGUCCCGCAGAUGCUCCCAACCUACCACACCUGUGGUUCUUCUCCUGAUGGCCCAAUUCCGCAUCUGCGGUCUCCCUCACGCACCUGCGACCUCGCACUUGUGGUCCCCAAUCCGCAGGUGCGGUCAUGGCAGAAGCAACAGCUUCAACUGCUUAAAUCAAGUCCAUUCUUUUCCGUUAACCAUCUGAAAUCAUCCAAGGCCCCCGGAACCUCAACCAAACAUGAAAACAAGUCACCUAUCACCAUUCAAACUUAUUCCAAUCUUCAAAACACUCAAAACAACCUCAAAACAUCAAAUCACCCUCGGAUUUAAGCCUAAAGAUUUCCAAACUUCCGAAUUCCGCAAACGAUGCCAAAACCUAUCAAACCUCGUCCGAAUGACCUGAAAUUUUGCACGCACGUCCCAAAUGACACAAUAGACCUACUCCAAUUCUAAAAAUUUCAUUCCCGAUAUCAAGAUUUUUACUGCCGACCGAAAAAUGCCAAAUUUUCAAUUUCGCCAAUUCAAGCCUAAAUCUACCACAAGCCUCCAAAUUACAUUUCGAACACGCUCUUAAGUCCCAAAUCACCUAACGAAGCUAUCCGAACCAUAAAACCCCAAUUCCGAGAUCAUUUACCCAUAAGUCAACUUUCGAUUGACUUUUCCAACUAAAUAACCAACUUAAGAGACUAAGUGCCUCAUUCCACUCUAGGACCACUCCAAACACAACACAACCAACACGAUAUGAUGAAAUACCACUGAACAACACACAAGGAAGCAGAAAUGAAGGAAACAAGGUUGCAACAUAUGAAACAACCGGCCGGGUCGUUACAGAUAAUCUAGACUUUAACUAUCACCCUCCAUGUGAAAAGUUGAAUAUAAUACAGUUGGGGUUUGCAGAUGACCUACUGUUGUUUUAUAGGGGAGAUUUGGUAUCUACUAAACUACUGUACAAGUACUUUCAGUAAUUCUCCCUGGCAUCUGUGUUGGUAGCCAAUCAAGGGAAGAGUGCUGUCUACAUUGGAGGUGUGCCAGACCAGAUUCAGCAGUAAAUAAUACAAGAGUCAGGAUUCUCUGUGGGAUCUCUCCCCUCCAGGUACCUGGGAGUUCCACUCAGCUCAAAAAGACUAGCAAUUGGGCAAUAUCAACCAUUAAUAGAGAGGAUGAUAAGGAAAGUAACCUCCUGGACAUCAAAGUUUCUAUCCUAUGCAGGUACAUUGCAGGUGAUCAGAAGAGUACUCACAGCCAUCUAACAAUUUUGGUCUCAAAUAUUCAUCCUGCCCAAGAAGGUGAUUCAGAGGAUUGAACAAGUGUGUCGGAGAUUUCUACGAAAUGGAAAUUAUGAAUGCUCAAAGAAGGCUCUAAUAGCUUGGGACAAACUCUGCUUGCCAAAAUCAGCAGGUGGUCUCAACAUACCAGACAUCUACACAUGGAAUAAAGCUGUCAUACUUAAACACUACUGGAACCUAUGUAAGAAGAAGGAUAAGCUUUGGAUACAAUAGGUGCAUAUCUACUAUACUAAGGUUAAUGAAGUAUGGGAAACCACUGCUACACAAGAAUCUUGGCUGAUUCAGAAUAACCUAAAGGAUAAACAAUACCUGGAGAAUGCAUGACUAACUGUCAAGGAAUUUUUGAACUGUGAGACAUAUGUUAUAAAGACAAUGUACAAUAAGCCGAGAGACAAUUAUUUUAAAGUACAUUGGAGGAAGUUGAUGUGCAACAAGCAGGUCAGCCCCAAGUGAUUAUUCAUCAUAUACCUUGCAAUACAAGACAGACUAUAUACAAGGACUAGAUUGCAAAAAUGGGGUAUGGGAUAUGGAACGACCUGUCCAUUAUGUGAUAGCGUUGAUGAGGAUGUGCAACACCUGUUCUUAAUAUGCCCAGUUACAUACCAGAUUUGGCAACAGAUCCUCCAGUGGCAGGGAAUUCAACGCCAUGCUAUGGAAUGGCAGGAAGAAGUUGAGUGGGUGCAAAAACAUGCCUAUAGUAACAAUGAAAAAGCAGAGACAUACCGAACGACCCUUGCAGGAAGUGUAUACUAUACCUGAUUAGAAAGGAACAACAAAAUCUUCCAACAAAGAACCAGACCAGCAGCAACUACAGUAAGACAGAUCAUUCAAGACAUACAUUGCAGAGGAAGAAAGAGGAAGAAAUUGAAAAUCCAGUUGAAGAAACUUGACUACUACCCUAGUUAGUUUGUAGGAAGACAUAGCCUAGUUUUCAACUCUAUCUUUUUGUAUGGCUGUAGGUGAAGUAAUAAAGUUGGACCUUGGGGUUGUGGUCCAACUUUAGCGGUUUCUG